Syzygium oleosum is the source of this 825-nucleotide long non-coding RNA. RefSeq lists it as uncharacterized. The transcript is spliced from 4 exons. Lineage: Eukaryota; Viridiplantae; Streptophyta; Magnoliopsida; Myrtales; Myrtaceae. The record is from RefSeq and is a predicted model, not a curated record.
CAUUUGUGCGGUAAUUCUUUAUACUAGAUCAGAUUAAUGGCCAAAUUCAUCUGAGAUCCUUGAAGUUUAAGAAGAACAUCCAUGGAAAACCCAAGAUAGGUGUUGAUCUUGAAGGGAAGCAAAGGAAAUUGAAGAACAAUAUCGUAGCCUUUGCUAGGAGGUACUUCCUCCACAUGAAGUGCAAAUUUCGAGUUACCCUGGAGUUCAGCAUCAGCAUUUUGUAAAAUUGUGGACUCCCAAAGAAUCUUAUGUGAAGGCGUUGGGAAGAGACUUCUCUGCACUACCCUUUAAAAGAUUUUCCACACGAUUCAGGAAAGCCGAGAAGAAGGCCCUUGUCCUUCCGGUGAAUCACAUAAUGAGGUUGUGGCAUGGAAUGUAGUGGCUUCAUGAGAGGUAAUUUAAUGUGAAUGGUGUUACUGAACAGUACACCUUUCUUGCCUUUUUCUUCAUGGCAACUUUCUCUCCUCUCUUCUUGAACUUUUUCUUUCUCUAUUGAUGAUGAACUUGUUUCGGCAAUCCAUAUGUCUAGGACUGGCAAGUUGAUUAGUUUUUAUAUACCAACUAGGAUACUCCUUUCUACAUUAGGUAGAGUCAGGAGAUUCAUAGUAAAAAGUGCAAAGCUUGUAUCCAUAUAUACUUUGUAAAAGAGAGAUCUCUUCAUGUGCAACCAAACACGGCCCAUGGCAUGCUAAUAUCAUGUCAUCGACCCAAUCUUAGAUCUUAUUGACUAUGCUUAUGAAAUGUCCGUUGAUUUGCUCAGAUAGAAUAUAUUUUGGCUUAAGAAUUAAUUGAUUUGCCGUAUUAAUUAAAGCCAUAUAUUUGCUA